RNAcentral lists this long non-coding RNA (3109 nucleotides) under Paramuricea clavata. Lineage: Eukaryota; Metazoa; Cnidaria; Anthozoa; Malacalcyonacea; Plexauridae. The record is from RNAcentral.
AGAUAUCGAUGAGUGCGAUCAUGACAUGCAUGACUGUGAUGGCAAUGCAACAUGUACCAAUACAAGAGGAGGUUACAACUGCAGCUGUGAUAACGGUUUCGGUGGCAAUGGAUCUGUUUGUGAAGGUGAAGUACAGUUGUCUUUUUGAAAUUGAUAGGCCCACUUUGUAUUACAAAUGAUUCUUCAUGAGGUUUAAAUCCACGUUAAAUUUCAUGUCAAAACUUUCCAAUUUCCGACCACUAGUCAUACUUUUAACAGCUUAAUUUUUUUAUGUGCAACUUUUAUGUUGCCAAAGGUUGCGUGCUUAAAUUAUGUUUAUUUGUGUGGUAUGGUAUGAUGGAUUUGAACAUCAAAGCAUAUGUUUGACCACAAGGUGGGAGUAGUAGGUUUUCAAUGUUUACGUCGUCUGCGCUCUAGUGCAGAAGAGCUAUUGCCAUAGUCCGGCGUCCGUGUCCGCGUCCAUACCAGAUGAUAAGGUUAAGGUGCCACUUUCAGUUUAAUAUUCUAUUCAUAUGUUUACCACUCGUUGCAAGAUAUGAUGUAACAGGUGAGGGAAAGGGGCGGAUUGUCGAACAAGACUUCAAAAUCAUAAGGUCAUUAGGUCAGCGUUAAGGUGCUAAAUAGUUGACAUUAUAAUUAUGGCUUUAUGCUCAUGAUCGGUGCUCUAGCAAGCUCGAUAAAGCCUAGUUUCCAUUUGGUCGUUAGUUGGCUGAUGUAAUAGAGUGUCAACAGACCUUUAUAAAACUCUGCAGUCAUUAAGAAUGAUUUGGAUAUAACACACAAAAAGACUAUUGAUUUUAGACUAUUUCACAUCUACCGCUUGUCGUGCCAGCGACAACUAACGACCAAAUGGAAACUAGGCUUAAUUGGAGAGGGGGGGGGAGCUCAUAUUCAUAUUUUCGUGUUCAAUCUCAUGGAUCAAUAUACUUCAUCAGGUAUCCAGUAUUAUCAUGUGAGCAAACUAAAGCAACAUGGUUUGAGAUGGCAUUGUCCCACAUGUGGAUAAACAUAAGCAAGCUGGAAAUUAUCAAAUGAUAGGCUUAAUGUUCAAGUGUUAACUAAUUAGCAUGAAAUUAUAAGUUUAGUGUUGAAAAGCUGGAUAUUAAAUUAUCUACAUUUGUUGAACAACAUUUUACUUUUGUUGCAUUAUUGUGCAACGUUUCAUAUUUAAAUGCAAAUCAAUGCUCGGCGUAUAGUGACUAAUGAAUAAUAAUAUACUGUAAUAUACAUUUCAUUUCCAUCUUUUCUUUUAAAUUUUUAAAAAAACUUGAAUGUUUUUACAGACGCAUGAAUUUGACUUGCAUGUGACUUUGAGUCUUGUAAUCGGGGUGUAUAUAGAUGCGGAUAAAGUAGCACGGGUUGCGGUUUGAAGUAGGGGACAGAAGUGGUAGUGUUAAAAGAGAAUGCGUUUUCCUUUUUAAACCCGUUGACUCCCUGCAGGCGAGCACUAGGUGACUUCAACACCUAUCUCUGGUAUAUAGUCUACUUGUCAUGAACAGUAUAAAUUUCGAGCCAACCAUAGUCUAUACAUGUAGUUAUAAUUNNNNNNNNNNNNNNNNNNNNAAGUGUUUGGAUCAUUCCAUCCAAACAUGGAAACCAUAAAGUAAUUGUUUUAUAAAAACAUGUGGAUAAACAUAAGCAAGCUGGAAAUUAUCAAAUGAUAGGCUUAAUGUUCAAGUGUUAACUAAUUAGCAUGAAAUUAUAAGUUUAGUGUUGAAAAGCUGGAUAUUAAAUUAUCUACAUUUGUUGAACAACAUUUUACUUUUGUUGCAUUAUUGUGCAACGUUUCAUGUUAUAUGUAAACAACGAGUUUGAGUGUUUCAUCAGGGGAUCCAAACACGAGAAAACUGUAUGAAACACGAGCGCGAAGCGCGAGUGUUUUAUUGUUUUCGAGUGUUUUGUCCCUUGAUGAAACACGAGAAACGAGUUGUUUACAUAACAUCUCAAACGAAAACAUUUCAUUGGCUUAUAUAUAUUAUUAUAGUAUAUUGUUGUGUUUUGACUUGAAUUUGUAAUUAGGAUCUCAGUUAUUAGAUGAAAACCGUUUUUCAUCUAACAACAGUGAUGGUAUAUGAUUUUUAGCGUGUUUCCUUGCGAUAUCCAACCUCAAUCAUGUAACGAAUUAGGGUGAGUUCAUUCGCUAAUUUGCUCAUGAAUUAUUAAUGAGUUCGAGAUAUUUAAAUGCAAAUCAAUGCUCGGCGUAUAGUGACUAAUGAAUAAUAAUAUACUGUAAUAUACAUUUCAUUUCCAUCUUUCCUUUUAAAUUUUUAAAAAAACUUGAAUGUUUUUACAGACGCAUGAAUUUGACUUGCAUGUGGACAGUACAACGGAUAAUUACGCGGAUUGCCGAUCCCACUAGAGUUACAUUCUCUAUAGUAGUAAUUUAGAACGUCUGGUUGUUUCUAUUUCCAAUUUUUAAAUAUGUUUUACCGCAGAUAUUGACGAGUGUGAUGGUGAAAAUGAUUGUCAUGACUAUGCCAAUUGUACAAACACUGUUGGCUCCUACAACUGCUCCUGUAAUGAUGGGUUCGAAGGCAAUGGUACAUACUGCCAAGGUAUAGGGAUGUAUUUAUAUUGUUUAUUUAUUUGUUCAGUAUCUGUCAAUGACAGGUUGUGCGAAGGCCCAGUAGCGUUCUCAACUGUAAAAAAGCGCGGAUUUAUAAUAUACGUAUUCUCGUCCUUUUAAUAUUGUUGGGAUUUUAUUUGUUUCUCUAACGCAAUUCCAUGGCAAACCCGACAGAAUUUGUUGGAAUUUUAAACUUUUUAACGUUAUUUAUAUAGGGUUAACUCCUUCCGGAAUUAAAUCACUUGAUUAGCAUAAAUGUGAUGAUGACAUGUAAUCAAUGUGAUCAUAACAAACACAUCUUUUGUGUUUUUCGUGCUUGUGUUUCGACGUUUUUCGGUUUUCAGAGAACAUCCUGAAUUGAUUUAGCUGUAUCUGGUUGCGGGAACUUACAAACAUUAGAAAGUCAAUGAAAUAUUUUAGAUAUCGAUGAGUGCGAUCGUGACAUGCAUGAAUGUGAUGCCAAUGCAACAUGUACAAAUACAAGAGGAGGUUACAACUGUACCUGUUAUAACGGUUUCAGUGGCAAUGGAUCUGUUUGUGAAG